UGGAUGGAGCUUCUCGUCAGCCUGGAGCCUCUGGGAGCCGGUCUAAGGACUUUGCUGACCCUACCUGUCUCUCCUCCACUCUUGUUAGAGAAACCCACCCGGAGACCUGCGAUUCCCAAGCCCGAGUCUCUGUUGAAACCGGUGGACGGUCUCCCUGACGUUUGAUGAGGUCCGCCCUCAGCACGGGCAGGUGGCAGGGCAUCGUGAGCCUGGCUGCAUGAAUACAGGAGGUGACCUCGGGCUGGCUCCGGGGAAAAAGGUUGCGACAGGCUCUGGAACUGGGUUUGUCCGGCUAUGGCGCUCCUGGCCCUGUGACCUUCAGCAAGCUACUUCACCCCUCCUCGGCUCUGUUUCCUUCUGGGCUCGGCAUCUAUUUUUAGUGCAUCGAGUAUCUACUAUGUGCCAGGCACUGUUUUAGGAGGUGGAGACACAGCAACGAGCAACGGAGACCCAGUCCUUGUGCCGGUGGUGCCGACGUUCCAGUGUGGGAAGCAGAUAACGAGGAAGGAGGCAGACACCUGUUUUGUCGCAUGGUGAGGAGUGCCACCGAGCAAAGUCAAGCAGAGGGAGAGACUAGAGAACAGCGGGACUUGUUCUUUUAGACGAGCCAUGGGCCGAGGCUGGCUCCCUGUAGCCCGUGGUCAUAAAUAAAGUUUUAUCGGAACACAGC
Molecule: long non-coding RNA, 670 nt
Organism: Equus quagga
Lineage: Eukaryota; Metazoa; Chordata; Mammalia; Perissodactyla; Equidae
Exons: 3
Source: RefSeq, a predicted model, not a curated record